UAUGCAGAUGAUGACAAAAAAGACAGGGACAUCAGCACUCCAAUGGAGAAUGUUGACUUAGUCUAAUGGGAAUCUCUCUGAUGCGUU
Molecule: small nucleolar RNA, 87 nt
Filed under: Cicer arietinum (chickpea)
Lineage: Eukaryota; Viridiplantae; Streptophyta; Magnoliopsida; Fabales; Fabaceae
Description: Small nucleolar RNA R44/J54/Z268 family
Rfam family: Small nucleolar RNA R44/J54/Z268 family
About the family: R44, J54 and Z268 are members of the C/D class of snoRNA which contain the C (UGAUGA) and D (CUGA) box motifs. Most of the members of the box C/D family function in directing site-specific 2'-O-methylation of substrate RNAs.
Source: Rfam by way of RNAcentral